RNAcentral lists this ribosomal RNA (469 nucleotides) under uncultured bacterium. Its description in RNAcentral is "bacterial SSU rRNA". It matches the Rfam family "Bacterial small subunit ribosomal RNA", at positions 49 to 513 of the family's 1533-position model. The record is from RNAcentral.
UUACACAUGCAAGUCGAACGGCAGCACGGACUUCGGUCUGGUGGCGAGUGGCGAACGGGUGAGUAAUACAUCGGAACGUGCCUAGUAGUGGGGGAUAACUACUCCAAAGAGUGGCUAAUACCGCAUGAGAUCUACGGAUGAAAGCAGGGGAUCGCAAGACCUUGUGCUACUAGAGCGGCUGAUGGCAGAUUAGGUAGUUGGUGGGAUAAAAGCUUACCAAGCCGACGAUCUGUAGCUGGUCUGAGAGGACGAUCAGCCACACUGGGACUGAGACACGGCCCAGACUCCUACGGGAGGCAGCAGUGGGGAAUUUUGGACAAUGGGCGCAAGCCUGAUCCAGCAAUGCCGCGUGCAGGAUGAAGGCCUUCGGGUUGUAAACUGCUUUUGUACGGAACGAAAAGCUUCGGGCUAAUACCCUGGAGUCAUGACGGUACCGUAAGAAUAAGCACCGGCUAACUACGUGCCAGCA